CCUACGGGGGGCUGCAGUGGGGAAUAUUGGACAAUGGGGGCAACCCUGAUCCAGCCAUGCCGCGUGUGUGAAGAAGGCCCUCGGGUUGUAAAGCACUUUCAGUGAGGAAGAACGCCUGAUGGUUAAUACCCAUCAGGAAAGACAUCACUCACAGAAGAAGCACCGGCUAACUCCGUGCCAGCAGCCGCGGUAAUACGGAGGGUGCGAGCGUUAAUCGGAAUUACUGGGCGUAAAGCGCGCGUAGGUGGCUUGAUAAGCCGGUUGUGAAAGCCCCGGGCUCAACCUGGGAACGGCAUCCGGAACUGUCAAGCUAGAGUGCAGGAGAGGAAGGUAGAAUUCCCGGUGUAGCGGUGAAAUGCGUAGAGAUCGGGAGGAAUACCAGUGGCGAAGGCGGCCUUCUGGACUGACACUGACACUGAGGUGCGAAAGCGUGGGUAGCAAACAGGAUUAGAUACCCUAGUAGUC
RNAcentral lists this ribosomal RNA (465 nucleotides) under Vreelandella stevensii. RNAcentral describes it as "partial 16S ribosomal RNA". It matches the Rfam family "Bacterial small subunit ribosomal RNA", at positions 338 to 795 of the family's 1533-position model. The record is from RNAcentral. Lineage: Bacteria; Pseudomonadati; Pseudomonadota; Gammaproteobacteria; Oceanospirillales; Halomonadaceae.